UACGGGGAGACCUAAAUCGUGACUCAAUUUGCCCUUUUAUAGAGGGAAUACAAGCGUGCUAAGGCUUAGAAAAAGCCACACUCGUCUAUAUCCCAUAUUUAAGGGGACUCUCAAGCAAAUGAACCCUAUAACUAGCAUGAAAUGCAAAAAUCCUAAAAUGGAGGGAAAGGGGGUUCGAGGGGCAUGCAAAAUGAUAAAACUAAAAAGAAUGCAUGACAUGUAAUGAACAUGCAAACAUGUACUAACGAGGGGAAAUCCCUAAGGGUCUAGCGUUGGACUAGCCCAUUCUAUGAAUUCCGACUAGCGUUGGACUAGUGGAAACGUA
Molecule: long non-coding RNA, 325 nt
Filed under: Coffea arabica (coffee)
Lineage: Eukaryota; Viridiplantae; Streptophyta; Magnoliopsida; Gentianales; Rubiaceae
Description: long non-coding RNA (CARA_LNC005066)
Source: RNAcentral